AGUAACACAAAAAUUAUAAAGGUUUGCUAAAUUUAAGUGCGUCGAUGCUCGCUAUGGUUCAGAGUUGAUUCAUCUCUGGCUGAAUUCACAGAGGCAGGCACGAGCUCAUCGACAACUUUUUAGUGACAUCGCACCAUGUCAAAAUCGUCAGAUCAGUUUGACAACUCAGACUGCGUGUGCUCGUUCGGAAUGAAGCUAACGUGGGACAUUAACGACCCUAAACUUCCGCAGGACACGAAGCAGUACGAUGCGUUUCAGGAGUGGACAGAUGGUUAUGUUCGGUACAUAUACAGUGCCGAAGACAAAAACGCGCAGCGCCACUUGAGCGGUUGGGCCAUGCGCAACACGAACAACCACAACUGUCAAAUCCUGAAGAAAUCGUGCUUGGGCGUCGUGGUUUGCUCCAGAAACUGCACACUUGCAGACGGCACCAAACUCCAACUGCGGCCUGCCAUUUGUGAUAAAGCCCGCCAGAAGCAGCAAAAAAAGCUUUGUCCAAACUGCAGCUCAGCUCUCGAGUUGGUGCCAUGUCGUGGCCAUAGCGGUUAUCCUGUCACCAAUUUCUGGAGAGUGGAUGGCAAGGCCAUAUUUUUCCAGGCUAAAGGCGUUCAUGAUCACCCGCGACCCGAGAGCAAGUCGGAAACGGAGGCGAGGAGAAGCGCAGUAAAGAGAAGAAUGGCUUCCCCUCACUUCUCGCAGAAAAGGAGACUCGUAGAACCAGAGCCUGGCCGCUACCAUGAUAUGCCCUUCCCCAACAUCCACCAGCUCACCAUGGAGACCCCAGAUCGCUUCAGCAUCAUUGCUGAAUCCAAUUUCCCUAUCCAGACACAGCACUACACGCCAUUCCAGAACACAGAGCCUUACAAGUUCCCCUAUGACACACAUGGCCCAACAGCCAUGGCUGAUGCUGCAAGCCCUCUGCAGAAGCCUUCUAACCACCGCCUGUACAUGGCAAGACCUCCAUGUGGAUAUGACUUUGCAGUGCCAGGCUACCUCAGUUCUGCACCCUACCCCACAGCACUGUAUAAGGACCCUGCUAGCCCCCCCUGUGAGGCUGAACUCAAUAAAAGUUGCUCUGGCCUGAGUGGGAUGCCUCACACAACCAGCUCACUCCCAAACCAUGAGCGCUCUUAUCCAGAUGCCACCACCAAGCACCAUAGCUGGAAGCAGAUCCUGGGCAAAGGGCCAUAUGGAGAGAGAGGGGAAUACCCACAGCUUUCUGCCAAUGCCAACCACUAUUACAACACUGAAUACCCAUGCAGGUACACAGGGCCCAGUCCGAAUACUCCGACAGCCCUUCAGACCAUCAUAACCACUACCACUAAAGUGUCCUACCAGCCGUGUCCUAAGCCAUCUGUGGUAAAAUAUGGUGAGAGUAUCUAUGACAUGAAGGGUCUGUCAAACUGUAACUCUGUCCUAGAGGAGACCUCCCCCAACACCUACUCUGACCUGAAGAUCCCAGAGGAUUCAAGCGUCAUAAAAACGGCUCUGUCCUACCAGGAUUCGGUCCCCACAAAAAUUGAAAGGACUGAGAACUUCGAAGGUUACCGUUACAGCGGCUACAGCUCCAACAGCUGCCCUGAGAGACUGGCACAUCCAUACAGGUAUGAAGGUGGAGAGUACUGAUCUACUGCUUCAGCGCUAAUUAUCAGGAAACAACAGCAGAAGAGGAGAAAAGAAAACUAUUUUCGCUGAUGAUAUUUGAGUAUUCCCUGCUAGAUUGAUUAUUUAAACAACAAAACUUGGUUUGAGCCCUGGGUUUCACCUGUGAAGACUGCAUUUGUUGUUAAAAAGGAUAAACCAACAUGAAGACCAGAAAGCUGUCUAUGGGAGAAAAGCAAGCCAUUUAAAAGCUCAGAAAAGACGGAAAAUCAAAAAGCCACAAAAGUCCUGGAACCAAGAUUAACUUCUACCAAAUUGAUGGAAAGGCCAAAGUGUGGAGAAAGGAAGGAUCUGCUCAUUGGUUAAGCACAGUGGAGGUACUGUCUUGGCUUGGGCUUGCAUGGCUGCUUCUGGAAUGGGCUCACUAAUCUUUAUUGAUGAUGUAACUCAUGAUGUUAGCAGCAGAAUGAAUUCAGAAAUCUACAGAAACAUUCUGUCUGCAAAUUUACAGAGAAAUGCAUCCAAUCCUAUUGGGAGGAACUUCACCAAGCAGCAUGACAAUGACCCAAAACACUCUGCAAACAAAACAAAGGAUUUCAUCAGGGGAAAAGUGGAAGGUUUUAGACUGGACAAGUCAAUCACCAGACCUUAACCAAAUUGGGCAUGCAUUUCACCUCCUGAAGAGAUGACUGAAGGGAGAAACUCCCCAAAACAAAGAAGCUGCAGUACAAGCCUGGAAAAGCACCACAAAAGAAGAAUGCAACAGUUUGGUGAUGUCAGUAGGUUACCAGCUUAAUGCAGUUUUUGCAAGCAAGGGACAAGCAAACAAAUACUAAAUGUUAUUUACUUUAAUUUAUUUGAAGACUGUUCCUAUAAAUCUGUUCCUAUAUUUUUGCUUACCUAAAAAUUGGGUGGUCUGCCACAAAAGGUCCCAUGUUCUAAGUUGUUUAACACAUCUAGAUGUAAAUUUUAGGAAAUUCUGAACUAUCAUCUUAUAUUCAUCUUUUGAUCUCAAAACCAAAUCUCUUCAGUCUUUAGCAAAAACAAAAGCUGUUCCAAUACUUUCGGAGGGGACUGUAUAUGUUGGAGUAGCAUUGAUUUAGAAUUAACUAACACACUACAUAUAGCUCAUAGAGAGUGGCCUUUAUUACAUCAGAUUUAGACAUACAGAUACAAAAAGAGCCUGAGAGACUUUGAGGACCUUGUGUCUUACAGAGCAACACAAAUGUCUGUAUGUCUGUGAUUAUGGUCCUCCAUGCCAAGUGCCCCUAUAUUCCUUUUGUCGUACUUAUGAUGAGCCCUUAUUUGCAACUAGUGGAUGAGAGAUAGAUGCAGCUCAAAGGCAGGUGCUUGAUAAUCUUUGCAACUCCAGAACACUUCAAAGUCAAAGUUUUGAUUAAUGUUUUCAAGAUAUGUGUGAAGAAAAACAUGUAAGGAUGCUGUUUUAGGGCUUUACAUUAAGGUUCAUUUAUUUAACAUUAUUUCCUGUAUUACUUAACAAUUAAAACACAUGACCUUUAGUAUUAAUAAUUGAAUACUUUUAAUUAAUAUUUCUAAAUAUUGAACAAAGUAGACCAAAAAAUAAAUAUUGGAAUUAACCAAUGCUUAUUACAACUAUGACUAAAAAUAAGUCCACAACAACCAAUGCCUUAAUGAAUACUGUAUGUUUGCAAUAGCUAAAUGGCAAUAGUGGGUUCCAACACUGACUGAUUAUUAUAAUUUCCCAUAGAUUUUUCUUGCCACAAUAUUACAGACAGUGACUUUGGAUUUUAGAUUCCAAAAUCUAAAUUAAUGUUGCAAUAUUAAUAUUAUUGAAGAUGAUCAUUUUAUUUGAUUCCUCCACUUUGAUUUUCAAUCUCUAAUCACAACAGAGGAUAUUGCUCAAAAUUUUCUAUUUAAUCAUUUAAAUCCUAAAAGCAUCCAAAAUACAUUGGAUCUGUUUUCCAGGCUGUGGUUAUAGCCUUAUUAUAGUUAUGUGUUGACACUUCAUAACUUUAUAAUUCUUUAUAAAGAAUAUAAAACUUUAUAAAGAAUUUUUGCUUAUAGUAUAUUUUAUAUAACCAUAUAUAGUCUCUCUCACACACUCACUCUGUCCCUUCUUUACUAUCUCUUUUUCCUCUCAUUUUGUGCCUCCUCUCUCUCUCUCUCUCUCUCAACAGCAUUAAGCAAGAGUAGAGCACAGGUGGUUUGAGCUCUAGCAGGCAAACUGAUGAGGCACUCUUGCUGCCUUCAUCACUGCCAUUAACUCAGACACACCAACCCAGUUCUCUGGCUGGAGAGGAAGAAGUGUUUACAUUCAGACACAGAGAGCAGUCAUUGAUGUUUUUUCCCCCUUUCAGUCAUUUUUCAUUCUCUUUAUCUGGUCCUUCCCUCUUUUGCAAACAUACAUAUAUCCUUUUGGUCAAUCAUCUCACCACUCGGUCUGAGUAUGUCUGUGCUGUGGAGUUUGAAAAUCCUUAGAUUACCAAGUGCACGUGCAGGUGGCUCUUUAGACUGGAUUGUUCGUUUCCAAUCUAACAGGUGUAACAAGGCCUCACAAAAAAUCUUUAGAUCUGCUGUAGUAUCAUUUUUCACACCACUGUUACUUUGAGAGAUGUGAUAUUCCUGUCAAUGUCAAUGCAUAUGCUGCUUUUUGAGACACUGAGGCUACAGAAAGGCUCAGAGGAAACUAUUUCACCUGAUAAAUGUUAUUUUGUCCCUUGCCAUGAACUGUAGCAAGAAUCCCAGCAAUGCAGGCACAGAGAAGCACAAAUCCAUCUUUAAAAGCAGCUUGUUAGAAAAGCAUCUAUUCCUGCUUCCCAGUGACCAUGAAACGCAAUUCCUGUGACUUAAAAGCAAAGUUUGAAUAUGCAUAUCCAAGAUGGUUAAAUGAUGAAUAAAUCAAAUGAAUUUGAUAGAAAUUGUCCAUCUGAGUCCAUCAAGACCACCGAUUUCUAUCAACUGUUCAUUCUUUCUUGCAAUCUCAGGUCCUGAGAUUUCGACAUCCAUACCUACUUUGUGCUGUACCAAAUAUUAAUAAGCACAUAUUAAUAUAUAGUAAGUGGCUGGCUACAAGAUUUACCCGAAAACUAACAUAAUGCCUACUAUUACUUAAUCAUGUUUUUCUGUUUUGAACAGUUAUCUAAACACUUUUUACAUUUCCUAUUGACAAAUUUAGUAACAGACAAGGGGCAAAUGUACUCAACCAGAAAGUGUCCAAUAUAAAACAUACUUAUGGUCAUCAAAAACAAUAUAACAUGUCUGUCUGUUGAAAGUUAAUGAGUUUGUAAAAUGAAUAACAAUACAAAUAGAUAGUAGUAACUACAAAAUAGAAGGAUCUAUUUUUAUUCUUAUUCAACACACACACACACACACACAUAUAUACACACAUGCACACACUAUCACACUGCAGUCCCUAUACCUGUGAGACAUCACAUUUGAGUACCUGCUACACCCAGGGCUUUCUCAAAGGGUGUAUGAAAGUGAGUAUGCAUCAGCAAAAAUUUUAGCAAGAAACUGUGAAAU
Molecule: RNA transcript, 5106 nt
Organism: Pangasianodon hypophthalmus (striped catfish)
Lineage: Eukaryota; Metazoa; Chordata; Actinopteri; Siluriformes; Pangasiidae
Gene: gcm2
Gene name: glial cells missing transcription factor 2
Exons: 6
Source: RefSeq, a predicted model, not a curated record